RNAcentral lists this small RNA (62 nucleotides) under Panthera pardus (leopard). RNAcentral's name for it is "sRNA (ENSPPRG00000018677.1)". Lineage: Eukaryota; Metazoa; Chordata; Mammalia; Carnivora; Felidae. The record is from RNAcentral.
GCGUUAGGAGAACGUUUCGCCAUUUCCUUGGAUGUCUCUUACAAGUUGCACCUCAUUUCCUG